CCUACGGGUGGCUGCAGUGGGGAAUAUUGGACAAUGGGCGAAAGCCUGAUCCAGCCAUGCCGCGUGUGUGAAGAAGGCCUUCGGGUUGUAAAGCACUUUCAGUGGGGAAGAAAGCCUUGGGGCUAAUACCCUCGAGGAAGGACAUCACCCACAGAAGAAGCACCGGCUAACUCCGUGCCAGCAGCCGCGGUAAUACGGAGGGUGCGAGCGUUAAUCGGAAUUACUGGGCGUAAAGCGCGCGUAGGCGGUCUGAUAAGCCGGUUGUGAAAGCCCCGGGCUCAACCUGGGAACGGCAUCCGGAACUGUCAGGCUAGAGGGCAGGAGAGGAAGGGAGAAUUCCCGGUGUAGCGGUGAAAUGCGUAGAGAUCGGGAGGAAUACCAGUGGCGAAGGCGGCCUUCUGGACUGACACUGACGCUGAGGUGCGAAAGCGUGGGUAGCAAACAGGAUUAGAUACCCCGGUAGUC
Molecule: ribosomal RNA, 465 nt
Filed under: Vreelandella stevensii
Lineage: Bacteria; Pseudomonadati; Pseudomonadota; Gammaproteobacteria; Oceanospirillales; Halomonadaceae
Description: partial 16S ribosomal RNA
Rfam family: Bacterial small subunit ribosomal RNA
Source: RNAcentral